CCUGCCUAAAUGACUACCGACCCGUAGCACUCACGUCUGUAGCCAUGAAGUGCUUUGAAAGGCUGGUCAUGGCUCACAUCAACACCAUCAUCCCAGAAACCCUAGACCCAGUUAAUUUGCAUAAUGCCCUAACAGAUUCACAGAUGAUGCCGUCUCUAUUGCACCUAUGUGAGAAUGCUAUUCAUUGACUACAGCUCAGCGUUCAACCAUAGUGCCCUCAAAGCUCAUCAAUAAGCUAAGGACCCUGGGACUAAACACCUCCCUCUGCAACUGGAUCCUGGACUUCCUGAUGGGCCAACCCCCGGUGGUAAGGGUAGGUAACAACACAUCUGCCAUGCUGAUCCUCAACACAGGGGCCCCUCAGGGGUGCGUGCUCAGCCCCCUCCUGUACUCCCUGUUCACUCGUGACUGCACGGCCAGGCCCGACUCCAACACCAUCAUAAAAUUUGACGAUGACACAACAGUGGUAGGCCUGAUCACCUACAACACCGAGACAGCCUAUAGGGAGGAGGUCAGAGACCUGGCCGUGUGGUGCUAGGACAAGAACCUCUCCCUCAAAGUGAUCAAGACUAAGGAGAUGAUUGUGGACUAGAGGAAAAAGAGGACAGAGCACGCCCCUAUUCUCAUUGACCGGGGCUGCAGUGGAGCAGGUUGAGAGCUUCAAGUUCCUUGGUGUCCACAUCACCAACAAACUAACAUGGUCCAAGCACACCAUAACAGUCGUGAAGCGAGCACAACAAAACCUAUUCCCCCUCAGGAGACUGAAAAGAUUUGGCAUGGGUCCUCAGAUCAUCAAAAUGUUCUACAGCUGCACCAUCGAGAGCAUUCUGACUGGUUGCAUCACUGCCUGGUAUGGCAACUGCUCGGCCUCCGACCGCAAGGCACUACAGAGGGUAGUGCGAACGGCCUAGUACAUCACUGGGGCCAAGCUUCCUGCCAUCCAGGACCACUAUACCAGGUGGUGUCAGAGGAAGGCCCUGAAAAUUGUCAAAGACUCCAGACACCCUAGUCAUAGACUGUUCUCUCUGCUACCACACGGCAAGCGGUACCGGAAUGCCAAGUCUAGGUUUAAGAGGCUUCUAAACAGUUUCUACCCCCAAGCCAUAAGACUCCUGAACAUCUAGUCAAAUGGCGACCCAGACUAUUCACAUUGCCCCCCCCCGGGGCCAACUCUCUGUUGUCAUCUAUGCAUAGUCACUUUAAUUAACUCUACCUAAAUGUACAUACUACCUCAACUAACCGGUGCCCCCGCACAUUGACUCUGUACCGGCACCCCCCUGUAUAUAUUGUUAUUUUUUACUGAUAUUCUUUAAUUAGUUUUUACUUUUAUCUCUUAUUCUGAUCCGUAUUUUUUGAAACUGCAAUGUCGGUUAGGGGCUCGUAAGUAAGCAUUUCACUGUAAGGUCUACACCUGUUGUAUUCGGCGCAUGUGACUAAUACAAUUUGAUUUGAUGUUAUACAAACAGACAAAGUCAUGGACAAGAUACACACUAGUGCACAAAUGACCACACACAUUCACGAAGAUAUACAGUUACAGACACUGUCCACCAUAAAAACUGGAUGGUUCUCUCCAUUGACUUAUACAAUAUAACUAUUGGUUAUCUCUCUCACCCUGGACUCAGUACUAGGUAGGCUGAGGGUUCUCUCCAGAAUUGGGUUGCCAGGUGGGGCUGUUCCCCAAUGCUCGAAAGUUUGGGAACCCCUGCUCAAAGGUCAGACGACCUGGCAACCCACAUGUUGUACUCUGCUCAGACCACUCACUGUGACUCAUGUCCUGAUUGACUAGGAGGAUGUGGAAGAGACAUGUCAAAGUGAGGGCCACACAUGUUGGACUUUCAGAGGACCGAACCGUCUGUUAAUUUUUGUCAAUUAGGCUAGCUAUGUGGGUGAUGAAAUUGCAUUUUCCUGGCUUUGGCCAACCUGACCUGCACCAGUAAACAUGUCGAUUGACAAUUAUAAGCUAAGUUAGCGUUACCAUAAUUUGUUCUCCCAAACUUUUCAAACGUAUCUCCCGUUACCAUAAUUUGUUCUCCCAAACUUUUCAAACGUAUCUCCGUCGAUCACAAUUGAUUCCUUAAAGUGGCCACAUCUAGAAGAUCCUCAUCGUUGUUAAACAUUGGUGGCUAUUAUUUUACACACGCUAGCUAGCUAACGUUAGCCUGCUUACAUCAAUCAACAGGUUGCUAGGGUUUAUGUUAAUUAGCUAACUGAAGCUAUAGCAACU
Molecule: long non-coding RNA, 2224 nt
Filed under: Salmo salar (Atlantic salmon)
Lineage: Eukaryota; Metazoa; Chordata; Actinopteri; Salmoniformes; Salmonidae
Description: lncRNA (ENSSSAG00000092860.1)
Source: RNAcentral